GCCCUCGUAGCUCAGAGGAUAGAGCGUCGGUUUCCUAAACCGUGCGUCGCAGGUUCGAGUCCUGCCGGGGGCG
This 73-nucleotide transfer RNA is filed under the name Naumannella cuiyingiana. It matches the Rfam family "tRNA". From Rfam's summary of the family: Transfer RNA (tRNA) molecules are approximately 80 nucleotides in length. Their secondary structure includes four short double-helical elements and three loops (D, anti-codon, and T loops). The record is from Rfam by way of RNAcentral. RNAcentral also lists the same sequence under 1 other name. Lineage: Bacteria; Bacillati; Actinomycetota; Actinomycetes; Propionibacteriales; Propionibacteriaceae.